Long non-coding RNA from Anopheles stephensi (Asian malaria mosquito), 817 nucleotides. RefSeq lists it as uncharacterized. Lineage: Eukaryota; Metazoa; Arthropoda; Insecta; Diptera; Culicidae. The transcript is spliced from 2 exons. The record is from RefSeq and is a predicted model, not a curated record.
UUAGAUCGAGUGAAGAAAUCAGGAUAUUGUAGUGUGUCAGUAUCAGUGUGUAGUGUGUCGCUAUCUGAGGUGAUGCUGUAUUAUAUUUAGUACUGCCUGAGGUGGUAAAGAUUCAGUGCCUAUAUGGACAGGUCAGCUUUGAAUGUAUCGGCGUCACAGGCGGUGCCGGUUUGCACCCCGAACUAUUGAUUGAUCCGACAUAUAGGAUCGUUCCACUUUUUGACCGAUCUGAAAGCAAAUAAUAAAUCCAGAUUUUGCUGCCAAGGACGAAUAAAGCCGUACUGGAUUUGACGGAAUCGUUUUGUGCAUCAGCGUGCUCCACCUUGGUCACUACCCAUUGGGAUUGUUUCGCGAAAAAUGCUAAAAGUCUACGUCGGAUAUGGACAAUUCGCGACUGUACGCUUCCAAAUGCAUGUAGUGCCAACAACGAUUGGUUCGAUUAAAAUAGUUACGUGUUACUAUCAUAAGCCAGCCCUCGUAUACAUGUUGUUACCAUUAGUUUUGAUCAGCAAAGCUAUGGAAAGAUUGUUCGUGAGACAAAUUUGCGAUUCAACUGCAAAUGCAGUAUAAAUCUAUGUGUUUUCACUGUGUUCACCGUAUAAGCCAUGUGUUUUUCACUGUCGUCUAUAGACCCUUGCUUCCUCGUCCGCGAUCCAUAAAGUUUCCUGACUCACAUGCCAAAUCAGAAAACCGCUAAAGCAUCGCAUCUGGAUUAUGCAAGGAGCUUUUACUGAUUUGUUUCAUAUAGAAUUGGAUUGAAUAUCUAGGAAAAAAUAGAAAAUACAUGAGAGAUAAUAUAUCAGAAUUACCUCCAAGA